UUAUGAUGAGAUUAAGAGGAGGAUUAAAGUGUCACCCUCAUGGAAGAAUCUAGGUCAUCCACCAAAAAAGUUAGUUAUUAAUCAUAACUGUUCAUUAGAUGAGUUUAAUUUUCUAGAGGUUUAAAGCCUCUUGCCUCUUUUGGAGGACACUUUUUGACUCUCUCUCUAAUAGCGGUUAGCCAAAGGAAAAAAGAAGGAAAACAAGGCCCG
RNAcentral lists this long non-coding RNA (210 nucleotides) under Spirodela polyrhiza (greater duckweed). RNAcentral describes it as "long non-coding RNA (SPOL_LNC001616)". The record is from RNAcentral. Lineage: Eukaryota; Viridiplantae; Streptophyta; Magnoliopsida; Alismatales; Araceae.